This 1273-nucleotide long non-coding RNA is filed under the name Homo sapiens (human). RNAcentral describes it as "HSALNT0019241". The record is from RNAcentral. Lineage: Eukaryota; Metazoa; Chordata; Mammalia; Primates; Hominidae.
GAAAUAUAUUUCAAUGAUUAAAAUUAACAGGAUGUACCACAGACUAGAUGUGAGAGGCAUAAAGAUUGACUGUAAAGAUUGUAGCCUGAGCACCCGGAAAGAAAGGAAUUCCUAUAAAUACACAGAGAGUAGAAAGAAUUUACCAAAGGCCAGUUAAGAGUGAUGGAAAAUACAGACAUCCUAAUUUUGAGAGGCCAAUUAAACAUUCAGGUAAAGAGGGGCAACUAUAUCCUGAAUUAAAGGUAGGGAUUCAGAUAAAUAUUUAAAUUUAGGGAAUUUUCAGCAUACAAAUGGUACCAAAACCAUAAGAAUGAAAGAUCACUCAUUCAUUAAGAAUGAGAAAAGAGGAGGGAUUUGAGGUCUGAGCCUUGGGCAUUCCAAAGUUAAGAAGUGAGGUUACGAAGAAGAACCAGGAAUGGAAAAUGAAAAGGAAAAGCCAGUGAAGUCAAAGGUAAACCAGGUUUGUCCUGGAAGACACGUGAAAGAACUUGCCAAGGAGGAAGUAAUAGUCAAUUUUGUCUGAUUCCACUCAUAGGUCAGACAAACUUCUGUACAAGGGCUGAAGACAGGACAAGAUGUGCUGAUGUAUAAAAAGUCUAAAUCUGCAGCAUAAUCGUGAAGAGAUGAGGAAAGCCACGUACUCAGAGCCUCACUUAAAGGAAAUGAAACAGUAAAACUGAAUCAGAUUUGGCUCUUCACUUCUGCCUUCAGUGCUGUCCAGACUCAGACAUUAUAUCAUUCUAGAUCCUUCCAAAAAAGAGCCCGCAUAGCCAAGACAAUCCUCGGCAAGAAGAACAAAGCUGGAGGCAUCACACUACCUGACUUCAAACUAUACUACAAGGCUACAGUAACCAAAACAGCAUGGUACCUGUACCAAAACAGAUGUAUAGACCAAUGGAACAAAACAAAGGCCUCAGAAAUAACACCACACAUCUACAACCACCUGAUCUUUGACAAACCUGACAAAAACGAGCAAUGGGGAAAGGAUUCUCUAUUUAAUAAAUGGUGUUGGAAAAACCGGCUAGCCAUAUGCAGAAAACUGAAACUGGGCCCAUUCCUUACACCUUAUACAAAAAUCAACUGAAGAGAUCAAAGACUUAAACGUAAGACCUAGUACCAUAAAAAUCCUAGAAGAAAACCUGGGCAAUACCAUUCAGGACAUAGGCAUGGGCAAAGACUUCACAUCUAAAACACCAAAAUCAAUGGCAACAAAAGCCAAAAUUGACAAAUGAGAUCUAAUUAAACUAAAGAGUUUCUGCAUAUCAAAAGAAAC